This 252-nucleotide long non-coding RNA is filed under the name Marmota monax (woodchuck). Lineage: Eukaryota; Metazoa; Chordata; Mammalia; Rodentia; Sciuridae. The record is from RNAcentral.
CGGGGCGGGGCCGGCGCGGGCGGCGCGGGGCGGGGGGCGGAACAUGUCUCCCGCCGCAGGAAGAUGAGGCAGCGACCGCCGCCGCGGGCGUAGCGGGCCGGAGCGGAGCCGGACCCGACGCGGGCGGCGGGCACCGCGGGCACCGCACACCGCUGCCCCAGCUCCCCGGCCGGCCUCGCGGGGCGGUAACGCGGCGGGGGAGGGGCCGCCCACGCGCGCCGCCGCCGCCGCCCACGCGCGACCCUCGGGGGC